Long non-coding RNA from Oreochromis niloticus (Nile tilapia), 621 nucleotides. RefSeq lists it as uncharacterized. The record is from RefSeq and is a predicted model, not a curated record. NCBI's taxonomy places the organism in Eukaryota, Metazoa, Chordata, Actinopteri, Cichliformes, Cichlidae. The transcript is spliced from 3 exons.
AUGAACUAAUCAUUUGAUUCAGGUCUGCUGACCCAGGGUGAGAUCUAAAACUUGCAGGACAAGUCCCUCGAGGCCAUAAUGCAUCCUGGUGCCUUGUGAUCACCAGGUAAGUGACGUACAUGCAUCCGAGUGUAACCCAGAGUAAAAUCUGUUUUACUAGAUUUGAGUAAUUUCCUGCACUUAUUUCCUGCCAUUGAACACAUCACAAAUACAUGACUCCAACCACAUGACUUUGCUCAGCCAAUCGGAUGGCUGUUGCAGGUUUGUAUUGGCAAACACUUGCUUUUCCCGUUUUAAUGCAUUUUUUUAACACCAACUAACUUAUGCGACUUAGACGCUGAUUACCGUGAGCCAGAGCCAUAGUGUUGUCGUGCACUGAACAGAACGGAAUUGGCCAGGUGAACCUUUUUGGGUAUGGAAAAGGAUGGCGAGCCAAUGAACGGCUAGGAGCAGGAAUCCUUCUGCAUUGAAGCUUCCACUGGUUGGCCUGGGAAACUGUGUGAUGUCCAUCUGAGAAACCUCAGUGGGCCCCUAAAGUCUGACCUUGCAGUGUAAGACCACCACGUGCUGGGGGUCAGAGUUCAACCAGUUCUCCAUGGCCUUGCAUAUGGCACAGAUCUU